RNAcentral lists this ribosomal RNA (664 nucleotides) under uncultured bacterium. RNAcentral describes it as "bacterial SSU rRNA". It matches the Rfam family "Bacterial small subunit ribosomal RNA", at positions 90 to 753 of the family's 1533-position model. The record is from RNAcentral.
UGAGAGCGGCGUACGGGUGCGUAACACGUGUGCAACCUGCCUUUAUCUGGGGGAUAGCCUUUCGAAAGGAAGAUUAAUACCCCAUAAUAUAUUGAUUGGCAUCAAUUAAUAUUGAAAGCUCCGGCGGAUAGAGAUGGGCACGCGUAAGAUUAGCUAGUUGGUGAGGUAACGGCUCACCAAGGCUGCGAUCUUUAGGGGGCCUGAGAGGGUGAUCCCCCACACUGGUACUGAGACACGGACCAGACUCCUACGGGAGGCAGCAGUGAGGAAUAUUGGACAAUGGGUGAAAGCCUGAUCCAGCCAUCCCGCGUGAAGGACUAAGGACCUAUGGUUUGUAAACUUCUUUUAUACAGGGAUAAACCUACUCUCGUGAGGGUAGCUGAAGGUACUGUAUGAAUAAGCACCGGCUAACUCCGUGCCAGCAGCCGCGGUAAUACGGAGGGUGCAAGCGUUAUCCGGAUUUAUUGGGUUUAAAGGGUCCGUAGGCGGGUCGAUAAGUCAGUGGUGAAAGCCUGCAGCUUAACUGUAGAACUGCCGUUGAUACUGUCGGUCUUGAGUGUAUUUGAGGUAGCUGGAAUGAGUAGUGUAGCGGUGAAAUGCAUAGAUAUUACUCAGAACACCCAUUGCGAAAGCAGGUUACCAAGUUACAACUGACGCUGAUGGA